AAUAGAUACCCUGGUAGUCCACGCCCUAAACUAUGUCAACUGGUUGUCGGGGAAGCAAUUCCUUGGUAACGAAGCUAACGCGUGAAGUUGACCGCCUGGGGAGUACGGCCGCAAGGUUAAAACUCAAAGGAAUUGACGGGGACCCGCACAAGCGGUGGAUUAUGUGGAUUAAUUCGAUGCAACGCGAAAAACCUUACCUACCCUUGACAUGCCAGGAACCUCGCAGAGAUGUGAGGGUGCCCGAAAGGGAACCUGGACACAGGUGCUGCAUGGCUGUCGUCAGCUCGUGUCGUGAGAUGUUGGGUUAAGUCCCGCAACGAGCGCAACCCUUGCCAUUAGUUGCCACAUUCAGUUGGGCACUCUAAUGGGACUGCCGGUGACAAACCGGAGGAAGGUGGGGAUGACGUCAAGUCCUCAUGGCCCUUAUGGGUAGGGCUUCACACGUAAUACAAUGGCCGGUACAGAGGGCAGCCAACUCGCGAGAGGGAGCUAAUCCCAGAAAGCCGGUCGUAGUCCGGAUUGCAGUCUGCAA
This 532-nucleotide ribosomal RNA is filed under the name uncultured bacterium. RNAcentral's name for it is "bacterial SSU rRNA". It matches the Rfam family "Bacterial small subunit ribosomal RNA", at positions 777 to 1310 of the family's 1533-position model. The record is from RNAcentral.